AGAAUGAACGCUGGCGGCAUGCCUAACACAUGCAAGUCGAACGAGACCUUCGGGUCUAGUGGCGCACGGGUGCGUAACGCGUGGGAAUCUGCCCUUAGGUACGGAAUAACUCAGGGAAACUUGUGCUAAUACCGUAUGAUGUCGAGAGACCAAAGAUUUAUCGCCUAGGGAUGAGCCCGCGUAGGAUUAGCUAGUUGGUGGGGUAAAGGCCUACCAAGGCUACGAUCCUUAGCUGGUCUGAGAGGAUGAUCAGCCACACUGGGACUGAGACACGGCCCAGACUCCUACGGGAGGCAGCAUGGGGAAUAUUGGACAAUGGGCGAAAGCCUGAUCCAGCAAUGCCGCGUGAGUGAAGAAGGCCUUGGGUUGUAAAGCUCUUUUACCCGGGAAGAUAAUGACUGUACCGGGAGAAUAAGCUCCGGCUAACUCCGUGCCAGCAGCCGC
RNAcentral lists this ribosomal RNA (444 nucleotides) under uncultured bacterium. Its description in RNAcentral is "SSU rRNA". It matches the Rfam family "Bacterial small subunit ribosomal RNA", at positions 26 to 518 of the family's 1533-position model. The record is from RNAcentral.